Ictidomys tridecemlineatus (thirteen-lined ground squirrel) is the source of this 783-nucleotide non-coding RNA. The record is from RefSeq and is a predicted model, not a curated record. Lineage: Eukaryota; Metazoa; Chordata; Mammalia; Rodentia; Sciuridae.
AGUUGACAACCCUUCAAGGACAAAUACUGAACCCUGUUGGGGGAGGAAGAAAAUAACAGAUUGCCAGAUAGACUAAAAAACAAUUUAGCACUCAGCAAGAAAAGAAGUGAGAACUCAAGUUGAAACAUCUCAUGGAGACAAUGUCAUCACAACACUUCCCGAUAAAAAAGAAGAAAAGCACCCUGAAACAUCUCAAUUAGAGAAUCAAGCCCCAAAUGGCACUAUGUUUUAUAGAUAAUGAGGAAACACUGAAUGAUUUUAAUCAUGAGGAUGACUUGACCAAACUUGCAUUUAUCAAGAUGAUGCUAGCUGCUUUGCAGGGUCUGUGUUGAAUGGCGGCUCUGCAAGCUUCAGUGGGAGUACAAUGAUAGCAUCACCUGUGCACUAGGCCAAUGCCACUCAUAUCUGGGCACCUGGUGGUUGCUGAAGAGGCAAUGGCAGAAUACACCAGGAAAUACCAAUUGUGAUGGUCCUUCCUCUGUUGGAUAUGAAAAGUGUCUAGGCCAGUAAACUUGUUUACCUCAAUAUCAAGUCUUUUGGCUCUCAGCUUUAGACAGAGUAUCACAAGAUGUAAAUUGCUUUGGGAUAGGCAAUAUUAUUCAUUACUUAAGACAGAUAUUUGGCAUUUGUAAAUUAUAGUUUAAAACACUGCAUAUAUUUAAAAAUUGUAUUCCUCUCAAAUAUGUGAUUUUCUUUCAUUAACAUAAUUGAUCUGUUAAAUGUUUAAAUAUUAUUUUAAUAACUUUAGGGUACAUACUGAAAUGAAAGUCAAAUAGGGAAAGC